This 177-nucleotide small RNA is filed under the name Chrysemys picta bellii (western painted turtle). RNAcentral describes it as "TUC338 (ENSCPBG00000018306.1)". The record is from RNAcentral. Lineage: Eukaryota; Metazoa; Chordata; Testudines; Emydidae.
UAAAUACCCCAGGAGACUGAAGUCCUCUAUUUAUUCACAAAAUAGACAGCACAGACAGCAUCUGGGAAAGCUUCCUAGUCUUUGUCCCACUGAUGUGUCUCAACCCUGGCCUGGAGGGAUCACAUCUACAUGUGAAAUGAUGCCCUGCCCCUCCCCCCCAUUCUCAACCUUUUGACU